Molecule: unclassified non-coding RNA, 1417 nt
Filed under: uncultured Neocallimastigales
Lineage: Eukaryota; Fungi; Neocallimastigomycota; Neocallimastigomycetes; Neocallimastigales
Description: partial contains small subunit ribosomal RNA, internal transcribed spacer 1, 5.8S ribosomal RNA, internal transcribed spacer 2, and large subunit ribosomal RNA
Rfam family: Eukaryotic large subunit ribosomal RNA (bases 661-1417)
Source: RNAcentral
UUUCCGUAGGUGAACCUGCGGAAGGAUCAUUAAAAAAUUGGACUCCAUUGGUGAGUUCAUUAAUAAUCCCUACCCUUUGUGAAUUUGUUUGUUUGAAUAAUUUUUUUUCCAAAAAAAAUUAUUGAAUGUCUUUCCUUGUUUUGGUGGAGCUUGUAAAGUGAAACCAGGCAGGGGAAUGGCAAACAAUAAUUAUUUUUGAAAAAGACCUUUUUUUAAAAUUAAACUUUUUGUAUUCAUUUGUCUAAAAUUAAUUUUAUAAUAUAAAAACAACUUUUGACAAUGGAUCUCUUGGUUCUCGCAACGAUGAAGAACGCAGCAAAAUGCGAUAAGUAGUGUGAAUUGCAGAAUACGUGAAUCAUCGAAUCUUCGAACGCAUAUUGCACUUUUUUAGUUUACUAAAAAAGUAUGUCUGUUUGAGUAUCAGUAAAAUAUUCUCAUAAAAAACAUUGUUUUUUUUAUGGUUAUGAGUGUUUUACAACGAUAACAAGUUGUUUCACUUUAAAUUCUUUGUUAUCAAAAAAAUCAUUAAAAGCCAAUUUUAAAGAUUUUUUAAAAUUGGAUAAAAUUUUCCCGUAAAAAGGAAUAACCUAAACAAUUUUAAAAAAUUAAAAUUGGUUUGAUUUUUUUUGAAACCCAAAGGAAAAAAAAACGAAAUUAACUUGAUCUCAAAUCAGAUAAGAGUACCCGCUGAACUUAAGCAUAUCAAUAAGCGGAGGAAAAGAAACUAACUAGGAUUCCCUCAGUAACGGCGAGUGAAGCGGGAAGAGCUCAAAUUUGAAAUCUUCAAGGUUUUACCUUGACGAAUUGUAGUUUAAAGAAGUGUUUUCUGUUGGAGUUUUGGUAAAAGUUCUUUGGAAAAGGACAUCAUAGAGGGUGAGAAUCCCGUAUUUGACCAUUAUCUCCAGCUUUGUGAUACACUUUCAAAGAGUCGGAUUGUUUGGGAAUGCAGUCCAAAAUGGGUGGUAAAUUUCAUCUAAAGCUAAAUACUGGCGAGAGACCGAUAGCGAACAAGUACCGUGAGGGAAAGAUGAAAAGAACUUUGAAAAGAGAGUUAAACAGUACGUGAAAUUGUCAAAAGGGAAGCGUUUGACACCAGUGUUGUUUUCUCGAAAAUCAAUUAAAAAAGGCCGGAUUUUGUGUUGUAUUGACUUUAUCAGCUUUCUGCACUCUUUUCUUGUCUUUUUUAAUGCACUUUUCGUUUAACAAGUCAACAUCAAUUUCUUUUGUUGUAAAAGGGUCAUUGGAAGGUGGCUUUCUUUUCGGAGAAAGUGUUUAUAGCCUUUGGCCUCUGCAAUCGGAGAGAUUGAGGUCUGCAGCGUAGAUCCUUCGGGUUAGAUACAUUUGUGCUAAGUUAUAGCCUUUCAUAGACAACUUGUUGACUAUGAUCAGCCAUGUAGCUUACUCGCUUAUGCUAUUU